RNAcentral lists this long non-coding RNA (834 nucleotides) under Homo sapiens (human). Its description in RNAcentral is "HSALNT0315064". Lineage: Eukaryota; Metazoa; Chordata; Mammalia; Primates; Hominidae. The record is from RNAcentral.
GGAAAGGACUGCUGAUUGGUUUCUUGGGGGCUUUUAAGUCAACCCUCCUCCACCCCUACCUCUACCAUGGUGCAAAUCAGUCACUUCAGAAAUAGUUCAUUCACUACUUCCUGUGCAGGAGAUAAGAAAUGAAAAGUGUGGUUUAAUUGCUCCCAAGGUGAUUAAAUUGCCAUAUUGACCAGACUGACACACAUCUAAUAAUUUGAGGCCAAUAUAAAAGACUGUGCAGCUGAGUGCUAAUUUGUGCAAAGAGAAAGGAGACAUUGGUGUGGGCUAGAAUAGAAGCUUCCACAGGCAUUGAACAAACAGAUGGAAUAAUGAGCUGGUUUAUGCAUUGGAACAAGACAAGACCAAAUGAGUUGUAGGAGAGGACAGUGCCAUCUUCAAAAGCAAGCACAACUGCAAGAGUUGAGUGCCCAGAUCAAUGACUUCCUCUCCGCCAUGACCCUUUCUACCAUUACUCAUGAUUUCAAUAUCCAUUUUAGGAACCCAUUUGACAUCCUGGCCUUUCAGCUUCUUAUCAUCUUCGUGCUCUGAUUCAACAUAGCUACUCUUGUUGUUGAUCAGUGACAACCUCACCACCCCAGAAAUGACUGUACUUGGCUGUGAGUAACAAAGUCGGCAGCAACAGCUUAAACAAGUAAGUGUUUAUUGUUCCCACAUCAUAGGUAUUCUGGAGACCAGUGGUCCACGCUGAUGAAGUGGCUUCAUGAUGUCAUCAAUAUCCCUGGCUCCUCUUUCUGCAAGCAGCUUUUACUCCCUGGCUCCCUCUCAGUCACAAGGUAGAGGCCCCACUUCCAUACUCAAUCUGCAGACCAGCCAGAAAAAAAAAAA